RNAcentral lists this ribosomal RNA (254 nucleotides) under uncultured bacterium. Its description in RNAcentral is "partial 16S ribosomal RNA". It matches the Rfam family "Bacterial small subunit ribosomal RNA", at positions 524 to 776 of the family's 1533-position model. The record is from RNAcentral.
UACGUAGGUGACAAGCGUUGUCCGGAUUUACUGGGCGUAAAGAGCGCGCAGGCGGUCGAUCAAGUCGAGUGUGAAAGCCCCCGGCUCAACUGGGGAGGGUCAUUCGAUACUGAUCGACUCGAAGGCAGGAGAGGGUAGUGGAAUUCCCGGUGUAGUGGUGAAAUGCGUAGAUAUCGGGAGGAACACCAGUGGCGAAGGCGACUACCUGGCCUGUUUCUUGACGCUGAGGCGCGAAAGCUAGGGGAGCAAACGGG